Non-coding RNA from Meleagris gallopavo (turkey), 1491 nucleotides. The record is from RefSeq and is a predicted model, not a curated record. Lineage: Eukaryota; Metazoa; Chordata; Aves; Galliformes; Phasianidae.
ACUAUUUUGCAGAUAAACUUAACUGACAUACGUUAGGAACAUGGGACAACUGAAGAUAGAAGGAACCUCAGGAGAUCUGUUCUCCAGUCUUCUGCUCAUAGCAGGGCCAGCUCUGAGGUCAGAACAGGUUGCUCAAGAUGUUACCCUGUCAAGGCUUACAAAUGUCAAAGGAAGGAAUUUUCACAACAUCCCUGGGUAACCUGCUCCACUGUUUGGCUGUUGUCAUGGUGAAAAAGUGUUCUUUUGUCUAGGCAGAACCUUUCAUGGCCAUUGUUGUCUCAUCAUCCCUCCACCGUGCCCCUCCCCUCCCUUCCUUUUGAAAAACCUGGCUCCAUCUUCUCCAUGAUCUCCUCAACAGAUACAAGUGGCUGCCAUCAGAUAUCCAGUUGGUCUCUCCUCUGAGCCAGACAAAACCACCUUUCUCAGUAUCUCCUCAUGGAGUCCAGCCCCUAGACAUGAUGGUGACCCUCCAGAGGUCCAGAGAUCUUUUUGGCUGCCCUGCCCUACUCUGCUCUCAAACAUAUGUGAUGCUCCUCCCAACCUGGCAUCUCCUGCAGGAUCAGUGAGCAGGCACUCCAUCACCUCCUCCAGGUCAUGGAUAGCAAUGGACAACAUGGUUGCCAUGGUCUUCCACCAAUCUCCAUGACCUUCUGAGGACAACUGUGGCCUUGUCAGGACAUCGGAAAGUUCUCAGCACUGUGCAUGCACUUUGUCAUGUCCCAUUGACUUGUACAGGUCAAGUGCAACCUAUCUACAAUUUGACCUUCAUCCAUUGCUGGCCUGAUGGAGCAAUGAGGAGGUGGAAAGCUGAUUUAAAUUUGCCUGACAGACUCAAGAGCAAUUACCAGAGCCCAUCAAGGCUUUUCUCAACUGAGGAAAACACAAAGAGGGUAUUUUGACAAUGUGCCAUAGGCAGACACGAUCCUGCUUUAUGUUACUGUGUGAAUAAAUAGUGCCUGGCUGUGUCAUGAGUUUAUACAGGGAUUUGAGGAUCUGUUGAGGAUCUGCCAUCUAAGAGUUUCUUUUACUUCUCUGAACAGCAUAACAAAUUAAAUAAGUGUGCUCUCCGCAGCACACAGCUUUAUUGUGCCAUAAUAGGAAAUAGAAUAGGACAAAACAGUUAAAAACCUUGAAAAAAAAACAACAGGCAAGACAGAAACCAUGCAGGGGACAGAUCAGGGCUGAGCCAGAGCAGCUCUUUUUCAUACUGGGGAGACAUGGGGCUGCUUUCAGAUGCCACCAGCUCUGGGCAGUUUUGACACAUCUCACAUACAGAAGGUAGAAGUCCCACAGGUGAUCUUUCCUUGCUGGAAAAAAAAGUGUUUUCUCAAAAAUUUACCCUAGAAAAUGUCAGUUCCUCUGUCUCAUGCAAAGUCCAGUAGGACAGCAGGGUCUGGCCCUACCACACAUGAUGGCUGUUUGCCUCUGUUGCCAUCAUGGGGUCAGAUGUGUCCCUCAUGCAGCAUUCAGAGCACCUUCUGAGCAUCUCCA